This 207-nucleotide ribosomal RNA is filed under the name uncultured bacterium. RNAcentral's name for it is "partial 16S ribosomal RNA". It matches the Rfam family "Bacterial small subunit ribosomal RNA", at positions 568 to 774 of the family's 1533-position model. The record is from RNAcentral.
CGUGUAGGCGGUUUGGCAGGUCGAGUGUGAAAUCCCACGGCUCAACCGUGGAACUGCGCUCGAAACUGCCUUACUUGAGUGCGGGAGAGGUGUGCGGAAUUCCUGGUGUAGCGGUGGAAUGCGUAGAUAUCAGGAAGAACACCGGUGGCGAAGGCGGCACACUGGCCCAGCACUGACGCUGAGGCGCGAAAGCGUGGGGAGCGAACG